Molecule: ribosomal RNA, 728 nt
Filed under: uncultured organism
Description: SSU rRNA
Rfam family: Eukaryotic small subunit ribosomal RNA
Source: RNAcentral
CGGAGAGGGAGCAUGAGACACUGCUACUUCAUCCAAGGAAGGCAGCAGGCGCGCAAAUUACCCAAUCCCGACACGGGGAGGUAGUGACAAUAUGUAACAAUAUACGGCUUUAUUGUCGUAUAAUUGGAAUGAGUACAAUUUAAAUCCCUUAACGAGGAACAAUUGGAGGGCAAGUCUGGUGCCAGCAGCCGCGGUAAUUCCAGCUCCAAUAGCGUAUAUUAAAGUUGUUGCAGUUAAAAAGCUCGUAGUUGGACCUUGGGCCUGGACAGGCGGUCCGCCUCACGGCGUGUACUGUCUUGCUGGGCCUUUCCUCUUGGUGAUCUGUGGUUUCGGCCGCAGGGAACCAGGACCUUUACUUUGAAAAAAUUAGAGUGUUCAAAGCAGGCUUUACGCCAGAAUAUAUUAGCAUGGAAUAAUAAAAUAGGACGUGCGGUUCUAUCUUGUUGGUUUUUGGGAUCGCCGUAAUGAUUAAUAGGGACAGUCGGGGGCAUUAGUACUCACAUGCUAGAGGUGAAAUUCUUGGAUUUUGUGGAGACUAACUUCUGCGAAAGCAUUUGCCAAGGAUGUUUUCAUUAAUCAAGAACGAAGGUUAGGGUAUCGAAGACGAUUAGAUACAGUUGUAGUCUUAACAGUAAACUAUGCCGACUAGGGAUCGGUCGAUGUUAUUUUCUUGGCUCGAUCGGCACCUUACGAGAAAUCAAAGUUUUUGGGUUCUGGGGGGGGUAUGG